RNAcentral lists this ribosomal RNA (430 nucleotides) under uncultured bacterium. RNAcentral's name for it is "bacterial SSU rRNA". It matches the Rfam family "Bacterial small subunit ribosomal RNA", at positions 56 to 515 of the family's 1533-position model. The record is from RNAcentral.
UGCAGUCGAGCGGGAUUGAGAGAAAGCUUGCUUUUGAUCAUGAUAGCGGCGAACGGGUGAGUAACAUGUUGGUAUCUACCCUCAAGUCGGGAAUAGCCCAUCGAAAGAUGGAUUAAUGCCGGAUAGACUCUACGGAGUAAAGAUUUAUUGCUUGAGGAGGAGCCUACAUUCUAUCAGUUAGUUGGUGAGGUAAUGGCUUACCAAGACUAUGACGGAUAGCUGGUCUGAGAGGAUGAUCAGCCACAAUGGAACUGAGACACGGUCCAUACUCCUACGGGAGGCAGCAGUGAGGAAUCUUCCACAAUGGGCGAAAGCCUGAUGGAGCGACACCGCGUGAAGGAUGAAGGUCUAACGACUGUAAACUUCUUUUCUGAAGGAGCAUAAUGAGAGUACUUCAGGAAUAAGCACCGGCAAAACUCGUGCCAGCAGC